Molecule: transfer RNA, 78 nt
Filed under: Ipomoea nil (Japanese morning glory)
Lineage: Eukaryota; Viridiplantae; Streptophyta; Magnoliopsida; Solanales; Convolvulaceae
Rfam family: tRNA
About the family: Transfer RNA (tRNA) molecules are approximately 80 nucleotides in length.
Source: Rfam by way of RNAcentral
GAUAGUUUGGCUGAGUGGUCAGGCGCCAGAUUUAGGCUCUGGUCCGAAAGGGUGUGGGUUCAAAUUCCACAACUGUCA